GGGGGGGGGGGGGCGGUCACCGCCGAGCCCAAACGGAGACUGGGACGCAACCAUGGCGAAGACCUCACCUUUAUGUGAUUGUUUAUGGGACUAAUGGAGUCCAUGUGGGAUGGAGACGGGUGUCCCAACUGCUUCCUGCAGUCCUACUGGAGAAGAAGAAUAAUAAUCUUCUUCUUCUUCCUCCUCCUGCCUGCCUGCCUCUGCCUACCUGACUUUAAUGUCAUAUUAGUUGCCGGUUCGUUUGUUCUCAGUUUCCAUGGGCACAGUGCUUGUCUGGAACUUUUGCGUAGAGCUCACAUGGUGAGCUUCCUGCUCUCGCUCUCGCUCUCCCCAGAGGGGAAUAUAGUGGUGUGCAUGCACCGAAAAGAGGAAGGAAGCGAUGCGAGCAGGACAUGGCGAGGAGGAGACUUCCUCUGUACAGCACUCUUGUCUCACAACGAGCACAUGCCACCCACUCGACCCAUCCCCAGGAAUCGCACACGGUCGGUAGGAUGUGUGUGUGUGUGUGUGUGUGUGUGCAGGAUGAAUUGUUCCUUCGCUUUGGAAAGGGAAACGGAUGGAAGAAGGAGAGCAAAUGUGAAGGAACAUGGGAAAGGGAAAGGGAAAGGGAAAGAUAGAUAGCUUGCUUGCUUGCUUGCUGCUCUUCCCUUUUCCACCUCAAGAUGAUGAGGCUGAGGCUGAGGCUGAGGCAGCAGCAACAGCAGCAUCGCAGUUCCCUUUCUUCUUCUCUUCUACUUGCUUUCCCACGAAACAAGCAAGGAAUAAUAAUCUGGAGGAGGAAGAUAUGGUCACCAUAACCAUAUAAAACUCCCACAAUAUCUCGAUGCGGGGAUUCAGAAAUGAUUUAAUUGGAGCACGAAUCCUGACUGCAGCGACCACUAUGGAUUCGGUCGCAGCUGCCAUUAGUACUAUAUAAAAUUGGGCAGCACUUUGCAUGCCCAACAUGGGGCCUAUGUGUAGGCUCCCAUGUUGCCUUCUUCUUCUUCUUCUUCUUCUUCUUCUUCUUCUUCUUCUUCUUGUGCUACAAUCACAUCUGAUGCCCUAAUCCCAACAGCUCUAGAUCGAAUCAGGUGAUCACGAAUCUCAAGGACUCUCGGAUACAUGUUUUAACAUUUGGCUCUCACAAGUGCUCCUCCGAGAUAGAUGCCUUUGCUUAUUCCAUUUGGUUUAGUUUACGAGACACAACACGUGGCAGCACAGUGAGAUUGUGAUCAGCCGCCCAAUGGCAAAUUCCCAUCUCCCACUAAUCAUCCUUCCAUCUUUCUUUCUACAUCCAACUUUUAGUCUUCAUCAUCCUCGCAAGCCAAUACAAGUAAUGUAUAAUUGUGUUGUUGCAUGGUUGCGGUUCUUCUUUUGUGCUUGUUCAUAUACUACUAUAGCUAAAAGAGGUUUGCAGGCAUCUGCUAGAUUCUCUUGCUUCUUUUUUCUUUUUUUUCUAAUCACAAAAUAUGACCAAUUGUUUACCCCAAAGUGAGAAUUGGAUACACAAAAGCAAAGUUGAUCAUGCCAUCUGUCACUAAUAAAUCUCGAGGAAUGUUGUCAGGGUGGUCCAAAGUCCAAACUAUGAUGUGAAGGGAUGAGGAGGCAUGUGCUUAGGAGGCAAAAGGCCUCCCCUCCCCUCCCCUCCUAUAGGAGAAUUUUAAGUCGAGGCUGUCUCAUGUGGAUCAUUAGACAGGGCUUGUUGGUUGGUUUAAUCGAGUAGGAUUGUGGAACGCCAGCAUGAACUGCAAGCAAAUUGACUUUAAUCAAAAGUGGUUGGGUCUUAAACCAUUGCUUGCUGUGACGGCUAACUUUGUUUAUGCAUGAAAAAAGAUACUGAGAUCAAUUUCAUGUGAGUGAGUAUCUCAACUCCACCACCGAUCGUACACCGCCCUGAUUAAGUUGAGGCUUUUUUGUUGUUGUUGUUGUUCUUCUUCUUUUUCUUUAAAGGCAAGCCAUAAUUCUUUCUGGAAUUUGAUGCUCAUUCAGGAACACAGGCCGACGUUUACCCGAAAAGGUACAAGUUGAUGGAGUUGCUUAGCAUCAUCAUCGAACACAAAGGGCAACGAUUAGAUGAUGGUGAUUUCAAUGCUGAGAGAAGAUUAGCAAACCAGCUCUUCACGGAAAGGAGGAGCGUUAUGAGAAGAUGAAAGCAACCGGUUCAGGAUUCAUUCCCUGUGCAUGGAUUACUGACUGCUAAAGCUUUGUUUUCUGCAACAAAAAGAUAAACUCCCAGGGCCAAGUCACCCCAAUGUCAAAAACUUUUGGCAUGAUGUUAUGGAUUUGUAGCUAGCAUAGUCUUCUUUGAAGCAAUCAAAUAAGAACCACCAAGCAUCAUCUUUCUUGCAGAGAGAGUGUUGGCAGUACCAUGAACAAGAUCUGGUUUGCUUAAGAGUACCACCUAUAUACAUUAAGUUAUCUUUGAAGGAUGGCCACUAGCAUGAACCACUUUGUUAGAUGGAGAUGGUCUUGGGGGAACUAUGCUCGCUCUUAGUUUGAUGCCUAAACUAAGUUAUCUUUGGGAAAGUGGAAAAGGUUAAUGGAAUCCCACUAUAAUGAUGCUGAUGAUGAUCCUAUUAAAAAUUCUACUUGGAACAACUAGCCUUUAGCCUUUGGCAAAAGGUCUGAGAAAAGGGUGCCUAUUUUUAUUCCAGGGAAUGAAUGCAUCACUCAUCAUGCACAGGUGCUCUGGUUUUUGCUGCAAGUAAAAAGUUUUGGUGGGGAAGAUGCAACAUGAUUUCUGUCUCUGCAUUUAUCUUUUGCAAAGCUGUUUAUGAACAUAGCAGUUGGUGAUCUGGUUUCAUGAUUAAUUGGUGGCCUGGUAAUCAUUAGUCUCAAAGAACUUUGCUGUCAGGAAAUGGCUCGAUGUUACAUUUGAUUGAUCUCCAUCUAAAGCAACUCUUUUCAUUAUUUGCUUGCUCAUGCAUUGUGGUAAACUUGGAUCCAUCCACCAUUUGGUGUAAAGCUUGAAGAAACAUGGCUGUUCAGUUGCCCAACUUGCAUGACAAGGUAAACAAAUUCAUCAUCUCAAUCAAUAUGCAAGUUGACACAUUUCCACACUCCUUUGUACUUGACAUGGCUAUGCCCAAGAUGGUUAAUAUUCCUUUUCUCAGCUAGCCAAUCCAUUGUGGUAUCACUUUCUCCUGUGCCUUGGACAGUCCAGUGCCUUUAGGACAUUGUCCAUCUGACAUGAUGUCUCAUGGAUUCUGUAUCAUGGAAACUGGUUAUGUUGCCUUCCUACAUGUGAUGCAAUUCUACUCA
Molecule: long non-coding RNA, 3240 nt
Organism: Musa acuminata AAA Group (dessert banana)
Lineage: Eukaryota; Viridiplantae; Streptophyta; Magnoliopsida; Zingiberales; Musaceae
Exons: 3
Source: RefSeq, a predicted model, not a curated record